Molecule: ribosomal RNA, 414 nt
Filed under: uncultured bacterium
Lineage: Bacteria
Description: bacterial SSU rRNA
Rfam family: Bacterial small subunit ribosomal RNA
Source: RNAcentral
GAGUUUGAUCGUGGCUCAGAUUGAACGCUGGCGGCAGGCCUAACACAUGCAAGUCGAGCGGUAGAGAGAAGCUUGCUUCUCUUGAGAGCGGCGGACGGGUGAGUAAUGCCUAGGAAUCUGCCUGGUAGUGGGGGAUAACGCUCGGAAACGGACGCUAAUACCGCAUACGUCCUACGGGAGAAAGCAGGGGACCUUCGGGCCUUGCGCUAUCAGAUGAGCCUAGGUCGGAUUAGCUAGUUGGUGAGGUAAUGGCUCACCAAGGCGACGAUCCGUAACUGGUCUGAGAGGAUGAUCAGUCACACUGGAACUGAGACACGGUCCAGACUCUACGGGAGGCAGCAGUGGGGAAUAUUGGACAAUAGGGCGAAAGCCUGAUCCAGCCAUGCCGCGUGUGUGGAGAAGGUACUUCGGAUU